GUAAAGAGACCUACUGUAAAGCAGGUUUUUACUAUACAUGAUCCGCCUUACGCUCUCCUCAACCAAAAUUUGAGCGUAGGGCUUUUU
RNAcentral lists this non-coding RNA (87 nucleotides) under Streptococcus phage phi5218. Its description in RNAcentral is "S. pyogenes small RNA 779816". It matches the Rfam family "S. pyogenes small RNA 779816". Lineage: Duplodnaviria; Heunggongvirae; Uroviricota; Caudoviricetes. The record is from Rfam by way of RNAcentral.